This 253-nucleotide ribosomal RNA is filed under the name uncultured bacterium. RNAcentral describes it as "partial 16S ribosomal RNA". It matches the Rfam family "Archaeal small subunit ribosomal RNA", at positions 474 to 727 of the family's 1478-position model. The record is from RNAcentral.
UACCAGCACCCCGAGUGGUCGGGACGUUUAUUGGGCCUAAAGCAUCCGUAGCCGGUUCUACAAGUCUUCCGUUAAAUCCACCUGCUCAACAGAUGGGCUGCGGAAAAUACUAUGGAGCUAGGAGGCGGGAGAGGCAAGCGGUACUCGAUGGGUAGGGGUAAAAUCCGUUGAUCCAUUGAAGACCACCAGUGGCGAAGGCGGCUUGCCAGAACGCGCUCGACGGUGAGGGAUGAAAGCUGGGGGAGCAAACCGG